GACGUAGGGCGCGAGCGUUGUCCGGAUUUAUUGGGCGUAAAGAGCUCGUAGGCGGUUUGUCGCGUCUGCUGUGAAAACUCAGGGCUUAACCCUGAGCCUGCAGUGGGUACGGGCAGACUAGAGGUGUGGUAGGGGAGAUCGGAAUUCCUGGUGUAGCGGUGGAAUGCGCAGAUAUCAGGAGGAACACCGGUGGCGAAAGCGGCUUCCUGGUCCAGCACCGACGUCAGGCACGAAAGCGUGGGGAGCAAACAGG
RNAcentral lists this ribosomal RNA (253 nucleotides) under uncultured bacterium. Its description in RNAcentral is "partial 16S ribosomal RNA". It matches the Rfam family "Bacterial small subunit ribosomal RNA", at positions 524 to 776 of the family's 1533-position model. The record is from RNAcentral.